RNAcentral lists this ribosomal RNA (657 nucleotides) under uncultured soil bacterium. RNAcentral's name for it is "bacterial SSU rRNA". It matches the Rfam family "Bacterial small subunit ribosomal RNA", at positions 57 to 760 of the family's 1533-position model. The record is from RNAcentral.
GCAAGUCGAACGAGACCUUCGGGUCUAGUGGCGCACGGGUGCGUAACGCGUGGGAAUCUGCCCUUGGGUUCGGAAUAACAGUUGGAAACGACUGCUAAUACCGGAUGAUGACGUAAGUCCAAAGAUUUAUCGCCCAGGGAUGAGCCCGCGUAGGAUUAGCUAGUUGGUGAGGUAAAGGCUCACCAAGGCGACGAUCCUUAGCUGGUCUGAGAGGAUGAUCAGCCACACUGGGACUGAGACACGGCCCAGACUCCUACGGGAGGCAGCAGUGGGGAAUAUUGGACAAUGGGCGAAAGCCUGAUCCAGCAAUGCCGCGUGAGUGAUGAAGGCCUUAGGGUUGUAAAGCUCUUUUACCCGGGAUGAUAAUGACAGUACCGGGAGAAUAAGCUCCGGCUAACUCCGUGCCAGCAGCCGCGGUAAUACGGAGGGAGCUAGCGUUGUUCGGAAUUACUGGGCGUAAAGCGCACGUAGGCGGCGAUCUAAGUCAGAGGUGAAAGCCCGGGGCUCAACCCCGGAAUAGCCUUUGAGACUGGAUUGCUUGAAUCCAGGAGAGGUGAGUGGAAUUCCGAGUGUAGAGGUGAAAUUCGUAGAUAUUCGGAAAAACACCAGUGGCGAAGGCGGCUCACUGGACUGGUAUUGACGCUGAGGUGCGAAAGC